UGGCUCUCGCAUCGAUGAAGAACGCAGCGAAAUGCGAUAAGUAAUGUGAAUUGCAGAAUUCAGUGAAUCAUCGAAUCUUUGAACGCACCUUGCGCUCCUUGGUAUUCCGAGGAGCAUGCCUGUUUGAGUGUCUUGAAGUCAUCAACCCCUCCCGUUUUCGUGACGGGGUGAGUUGGAGGUGGGGGAAGUGCUGCCGAAGGGCGGCUCCCCUCAAAUGCUUCGGUUGGGCCUGUGGGUCGAACUCGACUGGGCGUUGUACCAUCCUCGCUUGUUUCGAGAAGUUCCCCUAGACGUGCCUGGACCAUGACCGCUUCUGGAGUGGCGGCCAAACAAGAUUUCUUGAAAUCUGACCUCAAAUCAGGUAGGACUACCCGCUGA
Molecule: unclassified non-coding RNA, 378 nt
Filed under: uncultured fungus
Lineage: Eukaryota; Fungi
Description: partial contains 5.8S ribosomal RNA and internal transcribed spacer 2
Rfam family: 5.8S ribosomal RNA (bases 1-133)
Source: RNAcentral